This 100-nucleotide microRNA precursor is filed under the name Loxodonta africana (African savanna elephant). RNAcentral's name for it is "mir-544 microRNA precursor family". It matches the Rfam family "mir-544 microRNA precursor family". The record is from Rfam by way of RNAcentral. Lineage: Eukaryota; Metazoa; Chordata; Mammalia; Proboscidea; Elephantidae.
AACAUCUGGGGGAAUCUUGUUAAAAUGCAGAUUAUAAUUCAGUAGGUCUGUGGUGAGCCCUAAGAUUUUGCAUUUCUAACAAGAUCCCAGGUGAUGCUGA